CCUACGGGUGGCAGCAGUGAGGAAUAUUGGUCAAUGGGCGAGAGCCUGAACCAGCCAAGCCGCGUGAGGGAAGACGGUCCUACGUAUUGUAAACCUCUUUUGUCAGGGAGCAAGGGCGGGGACUAGUGCUGCGGUGAGGGUACCUGAAGAGAAAGCAUCGGCUAAAUCCGUGCCAGCAGCCGCGGUAAUACGGGGGAUGCGAGCGUUAUCCGGAUUUGUGGGGUUUAAGGGGUGCGCAGGCGGACUGUUAAGUCAGCGGUAAAAGCCCGGGGCUCAACCCCGGCGAGCCGUUGAAACUGGCGGGCUGGAGUGGGCGAGAAGUACGCGGAAUGCGCGGUGUAGCGGUGAAAUGCUUAGAUAUCGCGCAGAACCCCGAUUGCGAAGGCAGCGGACCGGCGCCAAACUGACGCUGAGGCACGAAAGCGUGGGUAUCGAACAGGAUUAGAUACCCCGGUAGUC
Molecule: ribosomal RNA, 459 nt
Filed under: uncultured bacterium
Lineage: Bacteria
Description: partial 16S ribosomal RNA
Rfam family: Bacterial small subunit ribosomal RNA
Source: RNAcentral